This is a transfer RNA of Felis catus (domestic cat), 85 nucleotides long. It matches the Rfam family "tRNA". Rfam says of the family: Transfer RNA (tRNA) molecules are approximately 80 nucleotides in length. NCBI's taxonomy places the organism in Eukaryota, Metazoa, Chordata, Mammalia, Carnivora, Felidae. The record is from Rfam.
GCCUGAGUGACUUAGUCGGUUAAGUGUCUGACUUUGGCUCAGGUCAUGAUCUUGCAGUUCGUGAGAUCGAGCCCCGCGUCAGGCU